GAAUACACAAAGGUUUUAUCUUCAGGUCUUGGGGGUGGAAAUCUGGAAUCACUCACUACCUGUGAGUUAAAGCCACUGUGUUGAUAGGAGAACCACUGUGCCCCUUAUGGGGAUUCUAGAUUGAAUCCAUGUUUUCCCUUCUGUAUGUUCUGAAUCCAUCUGUGAAGAGGCCCAGAUCACGAACUCCUGUUUUUUUCCAAAGGUAGAGACAUGGUAACCUCUCUCCUUACUGACCUUUGCCCUGCUACUUAGACUUCCUCUCAUAAGACCUUUGUGACUACAGUGGACCUCCAGCAUUACCUCUGACAACCUACCCAUCUUAGGCUCCGAAUUGACCUUCUAGAGAUGAUCUGGUAUAAUGCAUGCCCAGUGCAAGCAACAGAAAUGUAUCUAAUCUUAUUUUAAUAUUUUUUCUUUUGGCAGCUUGGGAGGCUCAAUGUCUGCGGACAGGUUCAUUCUCAUUGUUCUUGGAACUGGAAGCUUGCAUUGACUUAUGGUUCCCCCAACAUUGCCAUGGCAGCAUGCUGUUCAGGGAGUCUCCUGGCCACCACUUUUCACUUUAUACAUUGGAUGUAUCUUGCCCCUGCAGCAGGACUUCCGGAUCCUGAAAGAUGCUGUAGUCACCACUGGAAAAUUGGAAGCGAGGUCAAGUCUGGAGAAACAGUGCUGGAAAAAGACUCCAGCCUUGGUGUCGAGCUCUGUGGCUGGGAGCAAC
This 715-nucleotide long non-coding RNA is filed under the name Rattus norvegicus (Norway rat). Its description in RNAcentral is "long non-coding RNA NONRATT010992". The record is from RNAcentral. Lineage: Eukaryota; Metazoa; Chordata; Mammalia; Rodentia; Muridae.